This 57-nucleotide transfer RNA is filed under the name Canis lupus familiaris (dog). Lineage: Eukaryota; Metazoa; Chordata; Mammalia; Carnivora; Canidae. The record is from Rfam by way of RNAcentral.
ACCUGGGUGGCUCAGUGGUUGAGCGUCUGCCUUCGGCGCAGGGGAUGAUCCCGGGUC